AACGAACGCUGGCGGCAGGCUUAACACAUGCAAGUCGAACGCGUGCAGCAAUGCACGAGUGGCGCACGGGUGAGUAACGCGUGGAUAUCUGCCUUUUGGUUCGGAAUAACCCCGGGAAACUGGGGCUAAUACCGGAUGGUUCCUACGGGAUAAAGAUUUAUCGCCAAAAGAUGAGUCCGCGUCCGAUUAGCUAGUUGGUGAGGUAAUGGCUCACCAAGGCGACGAUCGGUAGCUGGUCUGAGAGGACGAUCAGCCACACUGGGACUGAAACACGGCCCAGACUCCUACGGGAGGCAGCAGUGGGGAAUAUUGGACAAUGGGGGCAACCCUGAUCCAGCCAUGCCGCGUGAGUGAUGAAGGCCUUCGGGUUGUAAAGCUCUUUUGGCGGGGACGAUGAUGACGGUACCCGCAGAAUAAGCCCCGGCUAACUUCGUGCCAGCCGCCGCCGUAA
This 451-nucleotide ribosomal RNA is filed under the name uncultured bacterium. RNAcentral describes it as "partial 16S ribosomal RNA". It matches the Rfam family "Bacterial small subunit ribosomal RNA", at positions 29 to 523 of the family's 1533-position model. The record is from RNAcentral.